Motacilla alba alba is the source of this 163-nucleotide long non-coding RNA. RefSeq lists it as uncharacterized. The record is from RefSeq and is a predicted model, not a curated record. The transcript has 3 exons. Lineage: Eukaryota; Metazoa; Chordata; Aves; Passeriformes; Motacillidae.
CAGGUGCUGUCCCUGCCCUAGGUGUGCCAAGGAACAGAGGCAAGCGGGUAUCUUCGGGCCAGCCUCUGGAGUCAAAUCAAGAUUUGAGGUACCGUGAGGAGGCUUGUAGGCGAAGUUUGGAAACGGCUGCACCGAAGCACACGUCUUGAUGUCCACAUCCAAC